GAAGCUUGCUUCUGUUGAAGAUGGAUUUUCUCUUAGUGGCGCAAGGGUGAGUAACGCGUGGGUAAUCUACCUAAGAGACUGGAAUAACAAAUGGAAACGUUUGCUAAUACCGGAUUAAAUGUAAGAUGAAAUAAGUCGUAUAUUAAAAGAAGCCUCAAAGCUUCGCUUUUAGAUGAGCCUGCGUCGCAUUAGCUAGUUGGUGGGGUAAAGGCCUACCAAGGCGACGAUGCGUAGCCGACUCGAGAGGGUGAUCGGCCACAUUGGGACUGAGACACGGCCCAAACUCCUACGGGAGACAGCAGUUAGGAAUAUUCGUCAAUGGGGGAAACCCUGAACGAGCAAUGCCGCGUGAGUGAUGACGGUCCUUUGGAUUGUAAAACUCUGUUGUUAGGGAAGAAAUGAUUGUAUAGGAAAUGAUACAAUUUUGACGGUACCUUUCAAGAAAGCUCCGGCUAACUACGUGCCAGCAGCCGCGGUAAUACGUAGGGAGCGAGCGUUAUCC
This 502-nucleotide ribosomal RNA is filed under the name Porphyromonadaceae bacterium. Its description in RNAcentral is "bacterial SSU rRNA". It matches the Rfam family "Bacterial small subunit ribosomal RNA", at positions 68 to 546 of the family's 1533-position model. Lineage: Bacteria; Pseudomonadati; Bacteroidota; Bacteroidia; Bacteroidales; Porphyromonadaceae. The record is from RNAcentral.